RNAcentral lists this ribosomal RNA (403 nucleotides) under uncultured bacterium. RNAcentral's name for it is "bacterial SSU rRNA". It matches the Rfam family "Bacterial small subunit ribosomal RNA", at positions 29 to 412 of the family's 1533-position model. The record is from RNAcentral.
AACGAACGCUGGCGGCGUGCCUAACACAUGCAAGUCGAGCGGGAAAGUUCCCUUCGGGGAGCGAGUACAGCGGCGCACGGGUGAGUAACACGUAGGUAACCUACCCUGGAGUCUGGGAUAACCUGCCGAAAGGCGGGCUAAUACCAGAUAAGACCACGAGGGCUGCGGCCCUUGGGGAAAAAGAUGGCCUCUGCUUGCAAGCUAUCACUCUGGGAUGGGGCCUGCGCGCCAUUAGCAGUUGGUGAGGUAACGGCUCACCAAGGCAGAGAUGGCUAGCUGGUCUGAGAGGAUGGCCAGCCACACUGGGACUGAGACACGGCCCAGACUCCUACGGGAGGCAGCAGUGGGGGAAUAUUGCGCAAUGGGCGAAAGCCUGACGCAGCGACGCCGCGUGGGUGAUGAA